CCUACGGGAGGCAGCAGUGGGGAAUAUUGGGCAAUGGGCGCAAGCCUGACCCAGCGACGCCGCGUGAGGGAAGAAGGCCUUUGGGUCGUAAACCUCUGUUGUAUGGGAAGAAGGAAGUGACGGUACCAUACGAGGAAGUCCCGGCUAACUACGUGCCAGCAGCCGCGGUAAUACGUAGGGGACGAGCGUUGUCCGGAAUUACUGGGCGUAAAGGGCGCGCAGGCGGAUAUUUAAGUCAGCUGUAAAAGGCAUGAGCUCAACUCAUGUAUGCGGUUGAAACUGGGUAUCUAGAGUGCUGGAGAGGUAGGCGGAAUUCCCGGUGUAGCGGUGAAAUGCGUAGAUAUCGGGAAGAACACCAGUGGCGAAGGCGGCUUACUGGCCAGCAACUGACGCUGAGGCGCGAAAGCCAGGGGAGCGAACG
Molecule: ribosomal RNA, 421 nt
Filed under: uncultured Aminobacterium sp.
Lineage: Bacteria; Thermotogati; Synergistota; Synergistia; Synergistales; Aminobacteriaceae
Description: bacterial SSU rRNA
Rfam family: Bacterial small subunit ribosomal RNA
Source: RNAcentral